AUACGGAGGAUGCAAGCGUUAUCCGGAUUUAUUGGGUUUAAAGGGUGCGUAGGCGGUUUGCUAAGCGGGAGGUGAAAUGCCGGCGCUCAACGUCGGAAGUGCCUCCCGAACUGGUGGACUGGAAUGACUCUGCCGUGGGAGGAAUGUGUAGUGUAGCGGUGAAAUGCUUAGAGAUUACACAGAACACCGAUUGCGAAGGCAUCUCACGAAGGGUUGAUUGACGCUGAGGCACGAAAGCGUGGGGAUCAAACAGGAUUAGAUACCCUGGUAGUCCACGCAGUAAACGAUGAUGACUAACCGUCGGCGAUACACAGUCGGUGGCCAAGCGAAAGCGAUAAGUCAUCCACCUGGGGAGUACGUUCGCAAGAAUGAAACUCAAAUGAAUUGGCGGGG
This 393-nucleotide ribosomal RNA is filed under the name uncultured bacterium. RNAcentral's name for it is "partial 16S ribosomal RNA". It matches the Rfam family "Bacterial small subunit ribosomal RNA", at positions 523 to 918 of the family's 1533-position model. The record is from RNAcentral.